CCUACGUGAGGCAGCAGUGGGGAAUAUUGGGCAAUGGGCGCAAGCCUGACCCAGCAACGCCGCGUGAAGGAAGAAGGCUUUCGGGUUGUAAACUUCUUUUCUCAGGGACGAAGCAAGUGACGGUACCUGAGGAAUAAGCCACGGCUAACUACGUGCCAGCAGCCGCGGUAAUACGUAGGUGGCAAGCGUUAUCCGGAUUUACUGGGUGUAAAGGGCGUGUAGGCGGGAAAGCAAGUCAGAUGUGAAAACCAUGGGCUCAACCUGUGGCCUGCAUUUGAAACUGUUUUUCUUGAGUACUGGAGAGGCAGACGGAAGUCCUAGUGUAGCGGUGAAAUGCGUAGAUAGUAGGAGGAACACCAGUGGCGAAGGCGGUCUGCUGGACAGCAACUGACGCUGAGGCGCGAAAGCGUGGGGAGCAAACAGGAUUAGAUACCCCAGUAGUC
This 443-nucleotide ribosomal RNA is filed under the name uncultured bacterium. Its description in RNAcentral is "partial 16S ribosomal RNA". It matches the Rfam family "Bacterial small subunit ribosomal RNA", at positions 338 to 795 of the family's 1533-position model. The record is from RNAcentral.